This 284-nucleotide ribosomal RNA is filed under the name uncultured diatom. Its description in RNAcentral is "partial 18S ribosomal RNA". It matches the Rfam family "Eukaryotic small subunit ribosomal RNA", at positions 598 to 888 of the family's 1831-position model. The record is from RNAcentral. Lineage: Eukaryota; Bacillariophyta.
CGUAUAUUAAAGUUGUUGCAGUUAAAAAGCUCGUAGUUGGAUUUGUGGAUGAUCUUGAGGUCCACGUUUUGCGUUGGUACUAUUGAGAUUGUCCAUCCUUGGGUGGAAUCUGUGUGGCAUUAGGUUGUCGUGCAGGGGGUGCCCAUCGUUUACUGUGAAAAAAUUAGAGUGUUCAAAGCAGGCUUAUGCCGCUGAAUAUAUUAGCAUGGAAUAAUGAGAUAGGACUUGGGUGCUAUUUUGUUGGUUUGCGCACCUUGGUAAUGAUUAAUAGGGACAGUUGGGGG